This 71-nucleotide transfer RNA is filed under the name Bos taurus (domestic cattle). It matches the Rfam family "tRNA". Rfam says of the family: Transfer RNA (tRNA) molecules are approximately 80 nucleotides in length. Their secondary structure includes four short double-helical elements and three loops (D, anti-codon, and T loops). Lineage: Eukaryota; Metazoa; Chordata; Mammalia; Artiodactyla; Bovidae. RNAcentral also lists the same sequence under 1 other name. The record is from Rfam by way of RNAcentral.
UCCCUGGUGGUCUAGGGGUUAUGACUUGGCACUUUCACUCCAUGGCCCAGGUUCAAUUCCUGGUUGAGGAU